CCUACGGGUGGCAGCAGUAGGGAAUCUUCCACAAUGGGCGAAAGCCUGAUGGAGCAACGCCGCGUGGGUGAAGAAGGUCUUCGGAUCGUAAAACCCUGUUGUCAGAGAAGAAAGUGCGUGAGAGUAACUGUUCACGUUUCGACGGUAUCUAACCAGAAAGCCACGGCUAACUACGUGCCAGCAGCCGCGGUAAUACGGAGGUGGCAAGCGUUAUGCGGAAUUAUUGGGCGUAAAGGGAACGCAGGCGGUCUUUUAAGUCUGAUGUGAAAGCCUUCGGCUUAACCGGGGUAGUGCAUUGGAAACUGGGAGGCUUGAGUGCAGAAGAGGGGAGUAGAACUCCAGGUGUAGCGGUGAAAUGCGUAGAGAUAUGGAGGAAUACCAGUGGCGAAAGCGGCUCUCUGGUCGGUAACUGACGCUGAGGUGCGAAAGCGUGGGUAGCAAACAGGAUUAGAUACCCUUGUAGUC
This 465-nucleotide ribosomal RNA is filed under the name uncultured bacterium. RNAcentral's name for it is "partial 16S ribosomal RNA". It matches the Rfam family "Bacterial small subunit ribosomal RNA", at positions 338 to 795 of the family's 1533-position model. The record is from RNAcentral.